AUGCCGCUCCACGAGCAAGGAGCGCCGCGAGGAGAGCGAGAGAACGAAGUGGGCUCCCCACACUUCUUUAUUUCUCCGUGCCCCUUCCGCAUGCGCUUCGCGCGCCAUUGGCGCUUUGAUCUCCUCUUAUUUCUUCAUUGGAGGGUUCGGAUGGACUUCGCCGUUCUUUCCCAACGAAAAUGGAAAGGGUUGUAUCACAUCGAGAUGUCGAUUCGUUUUCCGCCCCAAAUGAGAUGGGGAAUUAGUCACAUCUGUCCCUUCAUCUUUUUGAAAGGAAUCGAGGCCCGGCCCGGCUCGCGUCGUUCCAACAACCGACGGGGAGCACCUUAGUAUAUGAUCGCGCACAGUAACUGGGAGUACUAUUACACCUAA
RNAcentral lists this ribosomal RNA (372 nucleotides) under Triticum aestivum (bread wheat). RNAcentral's name for it is "partial small subunit ribosomal RNA". Lineage: Eukaryota; Viridiplantae; Streptophyta; Magnoliopsida; Poales; Poaceae. The record is from RNAcentral.